GUCACUCUAGUUUAAUUUAGAACGUUUGGUUUGCAUCUAAAUAGUGGAAGUCUCCGAGUGACA
This 63-nucleotide transfer RNA is filed under the name Riftia pachyptila (tube worm). RNAcentral's name for it is "tRNA-Ala". Lineage: Eukaryota; Metazoa; Annelida; Polychaeta; Sabellida; Siboglinidae. The record is from RNAcentral.